Molecule: ribosomal RNA, 403 nt
Filed under: bacterium
Lineage: Bacteria
Description: partial 16S ribosomal RNA
Rfam family: Bacterial small subunit ribosomal RNA
Source: RNAcentral
UGGGGAAUAUUGCACAAUGGGGGAAACCCUGAUGCAGCGACGCCGCGUGAACGAAGAAGGUAUUCGUAUCGUAAAGUUCUGUCCUAUGGGAAGAUAAUGACAGUACCAUAGAAGAAAGCUCCGGCUAAAUACGUGCCAGCAGCCGCGGUAAUACGUAUGGAGCGAGCGUUGUCCGGAAUUAUUGGGCGUAAAGGGUGCGCAGGCGGUUUAAUAAGUCGAAUGUUAAAGAUCGGGGCUCAACCCCGCAAAGCAUUGGAAACUGAUAAACUUGAGUAGUGGAGAGGAAAGUGGAAUUCCUAGUGUAGUGGUGAAAUACGUAGAUAUUAGGAGGAAUACCAGUAGCGAAGGCGACUUUCUGGACACAAACUGACGCUGAGGUACGAAAGCGUGGGGAGCAAACAGG